CCUACGGGUGACAGCAGUGGGGGAUAUUGCACAAUGGGGGGAACCCUGAUGCAGCGACGCCGCGUGGGUGAAGAAGCGCCUCGGCGCGUAAAGCCCUGUCAGCAGGGAAGAAAAUGACGGUACCUGAAGAAGAAGCCCCGGCUAACUACGUGCCAGCAGCCGCGGUAAUACGUAGGGGGCAAGCGUUAUCCGGAUUUACUGGGUGUAAAGGGGGCGAAGACGGCGGUGCAAGCCAGGAGUGAAAGGCCGGGGCCCAACCCCCGGACUGCUCUUGGAACUGCGUGGCUGGAGUGCAGGAGGGGCAAGCGGAAUUCCUGGUGUAGCGGUGAAAUGCGUAGAUAUCAGGAGGAACACCAGUGGCGAAGGCGGCCUGCUGGACGACAACUGACGGUGAGGCGCGAAAGCGUGGGGAGCAAACAGGAUUAGAUACCCUGGUAGUC
RNAcentral lists this ribosomal RNA (440 nucleotides) under uncultured bacterium. Its description in RNAcentral is "partial 16S ribosomal RNA". It matches the Rfam family "Bacterial small subunit ribosomal RNA", at positions 338 to 795 of the family's 1533-position model. The record is from RNAcentral.